UACGUAGGGUGCAAGCGUUAAUCGGAAUUACUGGGCGUAAAGCGUGCGCAGGCGGUUUGGUAGGACAGAUGUGAAAUCCCCGGGCUUAACCUGGGAAUUGCAUUUGUGACUGCCCGGCUAGAGUGUAUCAGAGGGGGGUAGAAUUCCACGUGUAGCAGUGAAAUGCGUAGAUAUGUGGAGGAAUACCGAUGGCGAAGGCAGCCCCCUGGGAUAACACUGACGCUCAUGCACGAAAGCGUGGGGAGCAAACAGG
This 253-nucleotide ribosomal RNA is filed under the name uncultured bacterium. RNAcentral describes it as "partial 16S ribosomal RNA". It matches the Rfam family "Bacterial small subunit ribosomal RNA", at positions 524 to 776 of the family's 1533-position model. The record is from RNAcentral.